This 405-nucleotide long non-coding RNA is filed under the name Lactuca sativa (garden lettuce). RNAcentral describes it as "long non-coding RNA (LSAT_LNC007645)". Lineage: Eukaryota; Viridiplantae; Streptophyta; Magnoliopsida; Asterales; Asteraceae. The record is from RNAcentral.
AUAUGUGCGAUUGAUGAGUUUGAUAAGAUGGAUGAGUCAGACAGGACGGCCAUACAUGAAGUCAUGGAGCAGCAGACGGUUAGCAUUGCCAAAGCCGGGAUCACCACAUCUCUCAAUGCAAGAACUGCAGUUCUUGCUGCUGCCAAUCCUGCCUGGUAUUAAAUACUCUUUACAUUAUCAUUAUCAUUUUUUAAUUACUAAUACUAAUAUGAAUGUGUUUUGUUUGAUGAUGAUUCAGGGGGAGAUAUGAUCUCCGCAGAACUCCAGCUGAAAAUAUAAACCUGCCUCCUGCACUUCUAUCAAGAUUUGAUCUUUUGUGGUUGAUCCUUGACAAGGCAGAUAUGGACAAUGAUCUUGAAAUGGCCAGGCAUGUUGUUUAUGUCCACCAGAACAGAGAAUCUCCUG